Molecule: ribosomal RNA, 1496 nt
Filed under: uncultured beta proteobacterium
Lineage: Bacteria; Pseudomonadati; Pseudomonadota; Betaproteobacteria
Description: bacterial SSU rRNA
Rfam family: Bacterial small subunit ribosomal RNA
Source: RNAcentral
UAUUGAGUUUGAUCCUGGCUCAGAUUGAACGCUGGCGACAUGCCUUACACAUGCAAGUCGAACGGCAGCACGGGUGCUUGCACCUGGUGGCGAGUGGCGAACGGGUGAGUAAUACAUCGGAACAUGUCCUGUAGUGGGGGAUAGCCCGGCGAAAGCCGGAUUAAUACCGCAUACGAUCUACGGAUGAAAGCGGGGGACCUUCGGGCCUCGCGCUAUAGGGUUGGCCGAUGGCUGAUUAGCUAGUUGGUGGGGUAAAGGCCUACCAAGGCGACGAUCAGUAGCUGGUCUGAGAGGACGACCAGCCACACUGGGACUGAGACACGGCCCAGACUCCUACGGGAGGCAGCAGUGGGGAAUUUUGGACAAUGGGCGAAAGCCUGAUCCAGCAAUGCCGCGUGUGUGAAGAAGGCCUUCGGGUUGUAAAGCACUUUUGUCCGGAAAGAAAUCCUUGGCUCUAAUACAGUCGGGGGAUGACGGUACCGGAAGAAUAAGCACCGGCUAACUACGUGCCAGCAGCCGCGGUAAUACGUAGGGUGCGAGCGUUAAUCGGAAUUACUGGGCGUAAAGCGUGCGCANGCGGUUUGCUAAGACCGAUGUNGAACCCCCGGGCUCAACCCUGGAACUGCAUUGGUGACUGGCAGGCUAGAGUAUGGCAGAGGGGGGUAGAAUUCCACGUGUAGCAGUGAAAUGCGUAGAGAUGUGGAGGAAUACCGAUGGCGAAAGCCAGCCCCCUUGGCCAAUACUGACGCUCAUGCACGAAAGCCUGGGGAGCAAACAGGAUUAGAUACCCGGGUAGUCCACGCCCUAAACGAUGUCAACUAGUUGUUGGGGAUUCAUUUCCUUAGUAACGUAGCUAACGCGUGAAGUUGACCGCCUGGGGAGUACGGUCGCAAGAUUAAAACUCAAAGGAAUUGACGGGGACCCGCACAAGCGGUGGAUGAUGUGGAUUAAUUCGAUGCAACGCGAAAAACCUUACCUACCCUUGACAUGGUCGGAAUCCCGCUGAGAGGUGGGAGUGCUCGAAAGAGAACCGGCGCACAGGUGCUGCAUGGCUGUCGUCAGCUCGUGUCGUGAGAUGUUGGGUUAAGUCCCGCAACGAGCGCAACCCUUGUCCUUAGUUGCUACGCAAGAGCACUCUAAGGAGACUGCCGGUGACAAACCGGAGGAAGGUGGGGAUGACGUCAAGUCCUCAUGGCCCUUAUGGGUAGGGCUUCACACGUCAUACAAUGGUCGGAACAGAGGGUUGCCAACCCGCGAGGGGGAGCUAAUCCCAGAAAACCGAUCGUAGUCCGGAUUGCACUCUGCAACUCGAGUGCAUGAAGCUGGAAUCGCUAGUAAUCGCGGAUCAGCAUGCCGCGGUGAAUACGUUCCCGGGUCUUGUACACACCGCCCGUCACACCAUGGGAGUGGGUUUUACCAGAAGUGGCUAGUCUAACCGCAAGGAGGACGGUCACCACGGUAGGAUUCAUGACUGGGGUGAAGUCGUAACAAGGUAA